Molecule: ribosomal RNA, 26 nt
Filed under: Solanum kitagawae
Lineage: Eukaryota; Viridiplantae; Streptophyta; Magnoliopsida; Solanales; Solanaceae
Description: partial 5.8S ribosomal RNA
Source: RNAcentral
UGCAGAUUUUGGCAGCCUGGGCAUCA